This 498-nucleotide ribosomal RNA is filed under the name uncultured bacterium. RNAcentral's name for it is "bacterial SSU rRNA". It matches the Rfam family "Bacterial small subunit ribosomal RNA", at positions 30 to 524 of the family's 1533-position model. The record is from RNAcentral.
AUUGAACGCUGGCGGAAUGCUUUACACAUGCAAGUCGAACGGCAGCACGGGGCAACCUGGUGGCGAGUGGCGAACGGGUGAGUAAUACAUCGGAACGUGCCCAAUCGUGGGGGAUAACGUAGCGAAAGUUACGCUAAUACCGCAUACGAUCUACGGAUGAAAGCGGGGGAUCGCAAGACCUCGCGCGAAUGGAGCGGCCGAUGUCAGAUUAGGUAGUUGGUGGGGUAAAGGCUCACCAAGCCAACGAUCUGUAGCUGGUCUGAGAGGACGACCAGCCACACUGGAACUGAGACACGGUCCAGACUCCUACGGGAGGCAGCAGUGGGGAAUUUUGGACAAUGGGCGAAAGCCUGAUCCAGCCAUUCCGCGUGCAGGAUGAAGGCCCUCGGGUUGUAAACUGCUUUGUCAGGGAAGAAAUCCCUUGGGAUAAUACCUCGGGGGAUGACGGUGCCUGAAGAAUAAGCACCGGCUAACUACGUAGCCAGCAGCCGCGGUAAU